Molecule: small nucleolar RNA, 85 nt
Organism: Arabis alpina (gray rockcress)
Lineage: Eukaryota; Viridiplantae; Streptophyta; Magnoliopsida; Brassicales; Brassicaceae
Rfam family: small nucleolar RNA snoR114
Source: Rfam
GAGCUAUGAUGACAUCGGCUUCAGCAAUGGUUGGGUCCAUUGCACACAUCUGAUCUUCCGAUGAUAAUGCCACACUCCUGAGCUC